UGCUCUGUGGGAUCAGUGGCGAACGGGUGAGUAACACGUGAGCAACCUGCCCCUGACUCUGGGAUAAGCGCUGGAAACGGCGUCUAAUACUGGAUACAAGUAGCGGCCGCAUGGUCAGUUACUGGAAAGAUUUUUUGGUUGGGGAUGGGCUCGCGGCCUAUCAGCUUGUUGGUGAGGUAAUGGCUCACCAAGGCGUCCACGGGUAGCCGGCCUGAGAGGGUGACCGGCCACACUGGGACUGAGACACGGCCCACACUCCUACGGGAGGCAGCAGUGGGGAAUAUUGCACAAUGGGCGGAAGCCUGAUGCAGCAACGCCACGUGAGGGAUGACGGCCUUCGGGUUGUAAACCUCUUUUAGCAGGGAAGAAGCGAAAGUGACGGUACCUGCAGAAAAAGCGCCGGCUAACUACGUGCCAGCAGCCGCGGUAAUACGUAGGGCGCAAGCGUUAUCCGGAAUUAUUGGGCGUAAAGAGCUCGUAGGCGGUUUGUCGCGUCUGCUGUGAAAUCCCGAGGCUCAACCUCGGGCCUGCAGUGGGUACGGGCAGACUAGAGUGCGGUAGGGGAGAUUGGAAUUCCUGGUGUAGCGGUGGAAUGCGCAGAUAUCAGGAGGAACACCGAUGGCGAAGGCAGAUCUCUGGGCCGUAACUGACGCUGAGGAGCGAAAGGGUGGGGAGCAAACAGGCUUAGAUACCCUGGUAGUCCACCCCGUAAACGUUGGGAACUAGUUGUGGGGUCCAUUCCACGGAUUCCGUGACGCAGCUAACGCAUUAAGUUCCCCGCCUGGGGAGUACGGCCGCAAGGCUAAAACUCAAAGGAAUUGACGGGGACCCGCACAAGCGGCGGAGCAUGCGGAUUAAUUCGAUGCAACGCGAAGAACCUUACCAAGGCUUGACAUAUACGAGAACGGGCCAGAAAUGGUCAACUCUUUGGACACUCGUAAACAGGUGGUGCAUGGUUGUCGUCAGCUCGUGUCGUGAGAUGUUGGGUUAAGUCCCGCAACGAGCGCAACCCUCGUUCUAUGUUGCCAGCACGUAAUGGUGGGAACUCAUGGGAUACUGCCGGGGUCAACUCGGAGGAAGGUGGGGAAGACGUCAAAUCAUCAUGCCCCUUAUGUCCUGGGCUUCACGCAUGCUACAAUGGCUGGUACAAAGGGCUGCAAUACCGCGAGGUGGAGCGAAUCCCAAAAAGCCGGUCCCAGUUCGGAUUGAGGU
Molecule: ribosomal RNA, 1212 nt
Filed under: Microbacterium phyllosphaerae
Lineage: Bacteria; Bacillati; Actinomycetota; Actinomycetes; Micrococcales; Microbacteriaceae
Description: bacterial SSU rRNA
Rfam family: Bacterial small subunit ribosomal RNA
Source: RNAcentral